RNAcentral lists this long non-coding RNA (553 nucleotides) under Anas platyrhynchos platyrhynchos (common mallard). RNAcentral describes it as "lncRNA (ENSAPLG00000023049.1)". Lineage: Eukaryota; Metazoa; Chordata; Aves; Anseriformes; Anatidae. The record is from RNAcentral.
AUGCAAUUGAAUAUUUGGUCAAACUACUGCCAUAUUCUUCCUUCAAGUCACUAUGCUAUGAAGAGGCAUGCACCGUGCAUAGAACAGAGCCAUCUGUACCCUUUCAGAUGCAAGAUCAGCUGUGGGCACAAUUUAGAAAUGGCAUUGGAGUGGUAGGAGUUGAGAAAGGUUGUACUCCUUUGUCCUGUAAUCUAUGAUGUGACAUAUGGAAUGCCAAGAAUAGACUGUCUGCAGUCCACUUUGUAAAUCUGGUUCAUAGGCACAAAUUUUCUCUGAGUUGGGAAGGAAUCUUGGAAAGGAUCACUUCUACAGUUCCAUCAUUGAAUUCAUCAUCAUUGUCCCAGAGAAGCAGCGAUCAGUGAGAUGUGGCUCAUGGGCUAGGCAUUGGCAAGUUUGCUUUUGGUAGAAGAUCGACUAGUGUGUGUGUGUGUUACGGUUACACUUUGUAAAUAAUUACAGAUAUGAUAAGUUUUAUAUAGAUUAUAAAAAUGAUCUAUUGUAUUCACAUUUUAUGAAGAAUAAAAAAGAUGUAUGAAGAUUUUUUUUUUUAUGC